GUGGUUGGUGAUGGUAAAUCUGUGGGUAGUACAGUAGCAGCAGUCAGCGCAGUGGAGCUGACAGCAGAGCAGAGAAGACUCGGGACUACCGCACACAUGAAGGGACUCUCGUGGAUAACUCGCCUAUAUUUACCCGUCUGACCGGUGCUCCAGAGCCGAGGAGACACGCUCUUCUCCUCGCCAUCGGGUUGAUCCAACACUACCGUGGGGUCCUUCCUUCGCGGGGCUUGGCUUUUUUCCUGCGGGAGACUGAAUGGAGGCAGCAGCCGAGGGAGCGGUCGGGCUGUCGGAGGCCGGGGAAGGGAGUCCUCUGUCCGGGGCCGCAGCAUCUGAGGAUGGGGACGCGGUGAUGGGAGUCGGCUAUGGGAUGGACCCGGGUGAUAUGGAAGCAGCCAAGAAAGCCUUCAUCACAGAGAUGCCCUCGUCGUCAGGGCAACCAGGCCAGGGCAAGAAGAUCGGCCACAGAGGAGUCGAUGCAUCAGGAGAGACAACUUACAAGAAGACCACAUCAUCAGCUUUGAAAGGUGCUAUCCAGCUGGGCAUCGGUUACACAGUGGGCAACCUGAGCUCCAAACCAGAGAGAGAUGUUUUAAUGCAAGACUUCUACGUUGUGGAGAGCAUUUUCUUUCCCAGUGAAGGGAGCAACCUGACUCCAGCUCAUCAUUUCCCAGAUUUCCGUUUCAAAACGUACGCUCCUGUGGCCUUCCGUUACUUCAGAGAGCUCUUUGGCAUCAGGCCAGAUGACUACCUGUAUUCUUUAUGUAACGAGCCCUUGAUCGAGCUGUCCAACCCAGGAGCCAGCGGAUCAGUUUUCUACCUUACAAAAGACGAUGAGUUUAUCAUAAAAACUGUGAUGCACAAAGAGGCUGAGUUUUUACAGAAGCUGCUGCCUGGAUAUUAUAUGAACUUGAAUCAAAACCCUCGCACUUUGUUGCCCAAGUUUUUUGGCCUCUACUGCGUCCAGUCGGGUGGGAAGAACAUUCGAGUGGUGGUCAUGAACAACGUGCUGCCGCGGGUGGUCCGUAUGCACCUCAAGUACGACCUGAAGGGCUCUACAUACAAGAGGCGGGCAUCCAAGAAGGAGAGAGAGAAGGCCAAACCCACUUUCAAAGACCUGGACUUUAUGCAGGACAUCCCAGAUGGACUUAUAUUGGAUCAGGAUACUUACAAUGCAAUGGUGAAGACACUACAGCGGGACUGCUUGGUGCUGGAGAGCUUUAAGAUCAUGGACUACAGUCUGCUGCUGGGUGUUCACAACAUGGACCAGGCAGAGAGGGAGAGGCAGAUGGAGGGUUCCCAGGGAGACGAAAAGCGGCCCGUGGCCCAGCAGAAGGCCCUGUACUCCACCGCCAUGGAGUCCAUCCAGGGGGGAGCAGCGUGUGGCGGGUCUAUAGACACUGAUGACACGAUGGGUGGUAUCCCAGCUGUAAAUGGCAAAGGGGAGCGUCUUCUUCUGUACAUCGGGAUUAUCGACAUCCUACAGUCCUAUAGACUAAUCAAGAAACUGGAGCACACGUGGAAGGCCUUGGUUCAUGACGGAGACACCGUGUCCGUGCAUCGGCCCGGUUUCUAUGCCGACAGGUUUUACAAGUUCAUGAGCAACACCGUCUUCAAGAAGAGCUCCUCUCUGAAGUCAUCCCCCUCAAAGAAAGGCAGAGUGUCUCUCACAGUGCCCAGUAACAAGUGUCUAAUAGGACCUGGGGCAGCGUGGUCGGCCAGUCAGCUGACCUCAGAGAGGGACGAGAACAUCUACGACCUGAGAGGAGCCCGCAGCUUCCCCACCCUUGAGGAUGAAGGGCGACCUGAUCUUCUUCCUUGCACUCCUCCCUCAUUUGAAGAAGCCACAACAGCUUCCAUCGCCACCACUCUGUCGUCCACAACUUCACUGUCCAUCCCCGAGAGAUCGCCCUCGGACACAGCCGAGCACCCGCGAUACAGGUUCAAACUAUUGCGGCACACCCAGUCCCUCAGCCACGACGUAAGGACACAGGAGGAGCUUCGGGUGCGAGAGGAGGACCAGCAGACCAUCACUGUGGAGGUGGAGUUGAAACGGCCUGAUAGUGAACCCACUUUCUCUGUCCCGGAGACGCCUCCUAAACUCAGUGAUGUCCAGGAGGUAGAUGGUGCCGGAGUAGAGGCAGCGGUCCCUUGCAGCUCCAUUGACCCUGAAGUCCCCUCCUCCUCAACCCCCAUGAGCGCAGACGUGCCCCCCUCCAGUCCAAAAGUUGUGGUGGAGGAGGCAGACCCACCCAGCCAAGUGUCUGGAUCAGGGUGUACCAGCCAGGCCUCUGUCGACGACGAGGAUGAUGUGCCAAUCACAGAUAUUUACCUUAGGCGUUAACAGGAGGACCUCAGAAACCCAUUUGAAUCCAGCUGGUAUGAGAAACAUGGUGUGAACUUAUUGCUUACAGUUUGCAGUGUUAAAUUGGGUUGUGGUGUUGAAGUGACUUAUAAAAGCAUGCUCAGUUCACUGUUUUUACAUAGACACAUUGAGUGAGUCAGCUGGCGUGAUUUAGGUGCUUUUUUUUUUAGCUUUGGAAAGCUUUUUCUGUGUUGUCAAAUGGCAGGUCUAUAUAUCUUGAUCAAAAGGCUUUCAGAUUUUGUAGUGUAAGAGAAAGUAGCCCUUAUGUGUACACAGAGAAACAAGGCUAAACAUUUAAAGGAAUUUUUUUUAAAUAUCUAAUCUGAAAUCAGCAGUCACUUUGGUGAGUGUCAGGUUCUGUGCCAGUGAUAGCAGCUACAGAUAGGACUGUUCUCAUUUAACACAGCGUCUACAAGGUGUCUUCUAUCAGCAGUUAGACAAUCAGGUAUAUAAUGUCAAUGAGUUUGCAUGUUCAUAUAUGAAUGUAAGAAUGCAUGUUUUUAAGGUAUAUUUAACAUUUAAACACAAUAAUAAUAUAACAAUUGCAAGACAGAUGAGUUUAGUGCCAUUUUGCAGAACGUUCCAGGCAAAGCAAUAAAAAACAUGUAGUGGAUCCCUUCACCAGACAAGUUACAUAGGGUACAUUUAAAUGUAUCUUUAAAGGUGCACUGUGUAACUUGUCCCAUGGAGGGUCCGUCACCUGCUUGUCUUCAUGGAGAUUUGCCUAGAAUGUUCUGCAGUAUAACCACAACCCUGCGAAUUUCCAUAGAGACUUGCAAGCCAAAUUGUAGCAUACUGUGUAUAAUUAUUAGUUUAAUGCCAUACUGUGGACAAUUUAAACCAAAGCAUUAAUAUCUCCAUGGAGACAAACAGGUUGCAGACCCUCUCCAGAAAAGUUACACAGUGCACCUUUUCAUCUACACUAAAACUACAGUCCACUUGCACACAGAGAACAUUUCUCUUUGAAUAGAACUACAGCCUUUUGCACUGCUAAUAUCUCAGUUGUUCUGCCUCAUGGCUCAUUCAUGCUUCAGAAACAGAUGACACACAGCAGCAGGAGGCUCUAGCGCUGCAGGAGGCAAAGGCAGAAAAAUGAAGUUCACUGCAGAUACUCUAGGCAAUGCAGAAGUCACUCUCUGCUCAAAUCAAAAAGGAUGGUUGAUUCUCAUUUUGAACAAGAUAACCAAAUCAAAAGUUGAAGCUGAGACUACAAUAUGUCUUUUUCACAUAGUAACUGAAGUUUUUUCAUAUUACCAUAGGUUGUCCUACAGAUAAUUCCUAAACAAUUAGACAUAACAGUCAAAGGCAACAUCAUUUCUAUCAAAUAAAAUAAAUCAUGUUUGAUUGUGUCCAAGAAUUAUAACAUGAAUUGGAUAAAGUAAAAAUAAUAAUACAUAACAGUUGUAGUGCUUUUCACAAGACUCAAAGACACUUCACACAGUUCAAAAAAGAUAAAACACUAAUGAAAGAAACAGAUUUUCAGGGCUUUUUUGAAGUUGAAGAGUGUGGAUGAGUUUCUGAUGUGAAAAGUGUAAUAGAUUUGAUUCACACACUUGACCUGCUGGGUGAUGAUACGGUGAUGUGAGUGGAGCUGGAGUUGAAGACAGGUCGCUCAGUGUGAUUAAAUAAUUUAGCCCUUAUGGCCGCUCUUAUCACUUACUUUCCACCGUUCCUCUCUUUCACCCUCUUUUCAUCUGUUUUAAGUUCUUUCAUUCAUUUUAGUGUUAUUUCUUUCCAUUUCUACCAGUUCUUUCUUUAUUGUUACAUAAAUAUAAUGGUGUGGCAGGAUAAAAAUACAGUGUGCCAGACUUGAGAAUUCGUCUGUCAUCACUGACUCACCCACAUCCAACACGUUCACAACAACUUUUCUAUUUUCACUUCUGUAUGCUUUUUUGAUUGUGUUAUUUCACCUCUGUCAUGUCUUCCUCUCUUUUCAUAGUUCUGUUUUUAUUUUUUAUUUGUCCAUCUGCUGUGCACCUCUUCUGUCAGUUUCCUGAUGGUAGGACAUGGGUGGUGUCUCCUUUUCGCCAAAAGAGGAAAUGCCAGCCGAGUUGGCCCGUAAGUGUGUCCAGACAGUGCCCCCAGGCCCGGCUGUUGACAUAUGAGUGAACCCCUCCCUCAAUUAGAUGCAAUAGCAAUGUAAUAGUGUGUAACAGUCUUCCUGUUUGUAGAUUAUGUUGCAGAGGGAGUUUUUUAAAAUUUAUGCAACCAUGAGCUAUGACAGGUUUUUAUGUUUUUUCUAUUUGCUUUGGUUGGAUAGUAUAUCAGAAAAGACAGAAAAGACAAGUAACGUAUUGAUGAUAUUGUGAUCGUACUGUGUGAUGGUGUGUAAGCCGUCUAUAACUUAUAUACAAAUAAUUAUACAAAUGAACAAGAGGGAAUUCAUCAGUUGGUUCAGCAGAGUCCCAUGGGUUUAUAAAGAUAGGCCAAGGCACUCUGAUUAGUUAAGGACAUGGCAUGGACAAAGAUACAUUUAGACCUAUAUAAUCUUCACCAGGGCUUAGAAUAUAUUUUUAUGUGCUUCUUUGUCUUUAGUAUUCUUGGUCAUGUGUUGCAAAAGUAAACUCAACCCAUUCAUUGUUAACCUAUUAUUUAUUAAAUAUAUUGAUAUAACAUGCAUAGUUUGAUCAUUUUGCUUUUAAAUGAUUGUGCCUUGAGUAAACAAAAAUGUUUCUGCUGCUGGCUGUGUCAAAUCUUGCUUUUUCUUUGCUCUAAAGGUGUGUUAGUGUGGUUUGUAGUGUAAAAAUGCCUAUAUACUCCCUGUGGUGAAAAGACGGCAUUACUGUAGGCAGAAAAACAAAAGAUGAGGAGUUGGUUCUUUAUUUGAUUUAGUUGUUUACUGACAGCUCGCUUCAUCCCUCUAGCAUCAGAGUGGAUCUUGUGUGCAAGAAAGGCAGUCAGCUUUCUCUCCAUAGACCAACCAGACAUAACAUUGUAACAACUGACGAAAGUGAAGACAAGAUUCAAAAUGGCUAUGCUUGGAUAGAUUAGUCAAAAAGUAACAUUUUUCAACAAAAUAUAUCAAAAGAAAAAAAAAUUCAAAAGGAAUAUACCAGGCUCAAAGAGAAUGAAUGAAACUUUGGUUGGUCUGAUUUCACAUAAAUUGUCUUUGAUUUUUAUGCUGAUGAUUAAUGAUGAUAUUAAGUAAACCACGUUUAUUGGUGAUUACCAAAAAUACACAGUCAUAAAGUUAUGUCUGAUUGGUGGUUUGCCAUUUUGGUUGCUACCUACAGUUUCUGAAGACAUAAGCAAAGCGUUAUUAAGGUCUGCUGGAUGUAAGUGGCAUACUGUGUAGUUGAGGAAGCUGCUUGUGACCCUCCUAGCAUCUAUCUCCUCCCUCCUUCCUACCCUCUCCCCGCUCCUCAUACUCCCUGUUUUGGCUGCAGCACCUCAUCUUUCACAAAUGGGGCAACUUAGAGAUGUCAAAAACACAUCUAGACAUGUUACUGCAUUCCCUUUCUCAGUAAUGCAUCUUUAUGUACUUUUCUAACAGCUAAAAGGAUUACUACAUCCUUUUUAUACAUUUUGACGUGAUGUUUCAAAUCACACUUUUCCAAUGUCUCUCAGCAUCUCCUAAUGCAUCCCUAACUUUCAUUUCCUGUCUUGUCCUCUCUUCUUGUCUAUCUCCCUGCCUGCCCCUGCUGCUUGUCUGUGUGGCCCUUUCCCUCUGUCUCUCUGGCGCCCUCUGCUGUGGUGGGUGUGUAAAAGCCUCCAGAGGACAAGACCUGGGUGUAUUCUCCGCUACACUAUGAGUCUGAGGCCGUGCCAGAUGGGGAUUGGGAAAAAGAGACAUAAACCCUGACAGAAACAUCUUGGCAAUGGGAGAAGCCAGUCUGUGAUCCAGACUUCAGCAGUAGCCCUGGGAUCUCGGUCUGGACAUGGAUAUAUGAACUUUAAAGACUGAACCCUCCAGGGAUCUAAGGUGACUACAGUCCUGUGAUGAAGAUCCUGACAGUGAAGACAACAUCACAAAAGCUGAAUUGCUGAGUGAAUAUGUGUAAUAAGUGUACCAUAAAGCUCUAGUCGUAAGUGUCCAACAUCAAAAUAUUUUUCUGUGUUUUUUCAUGCACUCUAAAUGGUCCAAUUAUUCAACUAACUCCACAAAGCAAUUCAUUACUAAACUACAACUCGGCCAAUCAGAGCCCUCCACCAUACUGAAGAUCUAAAUGUGGCAUUGACUUUUGUAAACUGUGUGCUAUCUCUUACCAGCAAAACCAGUGUCCACCCAAGAGAUCACUGAUUUUAUUGUGCCAAGUAUCAAGGUGGAUUUAAGGAGCUUCAUCAUAAAUACACCAACAAUUGGUCUAUGUAUGUUCAAUUGCUAUUACUGUUAUUUAUAUUAAAUGUUUUUAUUUAUUAUUUUUCACAUGUAACUGAACAUUUCAUUUAUUAUUUGCACCCAAAGAUAUUUUAAGACUCUUUUUACUUAGUCUUAACAUUACUAGUAUUUUUAUGUAAAUUAAGUGUUAUUGACUCUGUCACUAUUUUGCUCUUUCUUUCACAAAUGCAUUUUUUUAGUGGGGGCUGUUACCUUAACAUCAACAUCGCUGGACUCAAAAAAAAUUGUAUGGUCAUCAUGUUUACAUUUUUUGAAAAAAAAAAAUAAUAAUAACAAUAACAAUAACAAUAAUAAUAAUUUUGGGACAAUUCUCUUUCACCUCAUCACUCCAAAACUAGUCCACUGGAUAACUCAGAAGUUGUUGUGCUGCAGUCACUUGUGUAUAAGUUUUCUGUCUAUUGAAUGAAGUAUGCUAUAGUUUAUGAAUGGGUUGAAUGUUGCAAAGGGGACAUACGUACAGGCCAAAAACUACAUUGCAGAUCUAAAUUUAGUCUCCUGUGGAAAAUGUGGAAUUAUUUCAGCAGUUACUUUACUUUAAAAAGUAAAACGUAUAGAUCAAUCAUUAUUUUUGUAUGCUCCUUCUGUUACAAGUCACAACCCUUUGCAUUUGUAUUGUUUUGGUGCUUUAAAUAUAAUUGGGAAAAGUAACAUUUUAUGCAUAAACUUUUGAAAUAAUUCCACAAUUCCAUAAUAUUCUUUUACUGUUGUGCUACUGCAUUUUGAUCAGAAAGCAAAAUAUUGUUAUUGUUUUCUACUCAAAUACCUUUUUAAGUGUAAUAUCAAAGCUACUGACACAAUUGGAGAGUUUAUAUUGUUUAAUUUGUGUACAUUUUGUGCAUUUGUUUCAAUAGCAGGACAGAUAAGUAUCACCAGAGGUGUAAAAUAGUUUAACUCAUUAGAUGUGCAGUUGUAAACAUUUCACUUUUGUUCACCAGACUGAGACAAGAGCAGCAAUAUUAUGUACAAUCUUUUCAGUUGAUGCCUUAUUGAAAAAAAGCCUGUUGUUUCUCACUUGUGCUGGUGUAUUUAAUUUAAUAGUCUUUAGUCGUGCUCCUGAGAAUGUGUACAUAAAAUUAUAAAUACAUAUAUAAAGAUAUACAAAUAUAUUUUCCAUUUGAAUCGGAGAAUAUUAUUUUUAUUUGUUUUUAUUUUUGCUGCUGGGCAAGAAACAAUUGCAAUCUAAUACAUUUUCUGUAUCAUAUUCUUGUGUGUUCAAUGAGGAGCAGCUGCUGUAUAUUUAGGUCUAUAAUCUGGAGCUGUUUCUUUGUAAAAAUGUCCCCAAAAAAUAAUGGACAGAUCAGCGGGAUCUACUGUAAAACAUGCAAGUCUAUAGAGAUUCUUCCAACUGUUCUGCUGUGUUUGUUGUGUAUGUGUUUUUCGCUGUGUGCCCUCAUCCAAUAGAGCGAGUCCUUUGCAGAGACAUAGCAUGAUUUCCAAUGAAUAUGCAUAUCAGAAAUGUGUAUUUAUGUAUAUCUGUUGUACAUUCAUCUAUUUACGAGUGCAGAUAAAUAGAUGGCUACGUGUGUGCGCGUGUGUCUGGACUCAAUCAAAAAUGAAAAUAAAAUAAAAGAUGUUCUAUAA
This is an RNA transcript of Boleophthalmus pectinirostris (great blue-spotted mudskipper), 8282 nucleotides long. It is a transcript of the gene named phosphatidylinositol-4-phosphate 5-kinase, type I, gamma a, with no coding region annotated. The record is from RefSeq and is a predicted model, not a curated record. The transcript has 18 exons. Lineage: Eukaryota; Metazoa; Chordata; Actinopteri; Gobiiformes; Gobiidae.